RNAcentral lists this ribosomal RNA (460 nucleotides) under uncultured bacterium. RNAcentral describes it as "partial 16S ribosomal RNA". It matches the Rfam family "Bacterial small subunit ribosomal RNA", at positions 338 to 795 of the family's 1533-position model. The record is from RNAcentral.
CCUACGGGUGGCAGCAGUGAGGAAUAUUGGUCAAUGGACGAGAGUCUGAACCAGCCAAGUAGCGUGAAGGAUGACUGCCCUAUGGGUUGUAAACUUCUUUUAUAUGGGAAUAAAAUGUUCCACGUGUGGGAUUUUGUAUGUACCAUAUGAAUAAGGCUCGGCUAACUCCGUGCCAGCAGCCGCGGUAAUACGGAGGCUCCGAGCGUUAUCCGGAUUUAUUGGGUUUAAAGGGAGCGUAGGUGGAUUGUUAAGUCAGUUGUGAAAGUUUGCGGCUCAACCGUAAAAUUGCAGUUGAAACUGGCAGUCUUGAGUACAGUAGAGGUGGGCGGAAUUCGUGGUGUAGCGGUGAAAUGCUUAGAUAUCACGAAGAACUCCGAUUGCGAAGGCAGUUCACUGGACUGCAACUGACACUGAGGCUCGAAAGUGUGGGUAUCAAACAGGAUUAGAUACCCUUGUAGUC